GGGACACCGGUAGAGGUGCUGCAUGGCUGUCGUCAGCUCGUGCCGUGAGGUGUNGGGNUAAGUCCCGCAACGAGCGCAACCCCUACUCUUAGUUGCCACCCGCAAGGGGGAACUCUAAGAGGACUGCUCCGGAUAACGGAGAGGAAGGUGGGGAUGACGUCAAGUCAGCACGGCCUUUAUGUCCAGGGCUACACACGUGUUACAAUGCAUGGUACAAACCGUCGCGAACCCGUGAGGGGGAGCUAAUCGGGAAAAACCAUGCUCAGUUCGGAUUGCAGUCUGCAACUCGACUGCAUGAAGCCGGAAUCGCUAGUAAUGGCGUAUCAGAACGACGCCGUGAAUACGUUCCCGGGCCUUGUACACACCGCCCGUCACAUCACGAAAGUGGGUUGUACUAGAAGUCGCCAUGCUAACCGCAAGGAGGCAAGCGCCCAAGGUAUGACUCAUGAUUGGGGUGAAGUCGUAACAA
Molecule: ribosomal RNA, 469 nt
Filed under: uncultured Acidobacteriota bacterium
Lineage: Bacteria; Pseudomonadati; Acidobacteriota
Description: bacterial SSU rRNA
Rfam family: Bacterial small subunit ribosomal RNA
Source: RNAcentral